AUGGGCACCACGAACGAGCUGAUGCACCGCCACGUCCAGGCGGCCGCCGUGCCACCGCUGCCCGCGUCCUUCGCGGCGACCAGCGCCAGGGGCAUGGGGUCGCAGCCGGGGCAGGGCGGCAGGCAGCGGGCGGGGCUGCCCCCGACGCCGCCCUCGGGGGCCGGCUCCCACUCCCUGCACGUCGCGGACGCGUGCAUGCCGAUGCAGGACGACUCGGCGCCGCGCAAGGCGCACCGCCGCUCCUGCAGCGACGUCCCGUUCGGCUACUUCCCGCCGCCGUCCCCCAAGACGGAGUCCGGCUGGGGCCUCCCCUGCGCCGGCGGCGGCGGCGGCGGCGGCGGCGGCGACGAGCUGUUCAACGCGUUCAUGAGCAUGGAGGGCAUGGACGGGCUGAACAGCUCCGACGGGGACAGCCGCGGGAGCAGCAUGCCCCCGGCCAACGGCGCCGACAGCAGCGAGAACGAGUCGGAGGACUACAGCGGCGUCGAGAGCCAGGUGUUCCUCUGGGGCGAGGCCGGCAGGAAGAGGAACGCCGCCGGGGAGCCGGCGGCCGCGGCUACCCGGCACGCGCGGAGCCUGUCCAUGGACAGCCUCAUGGGGAAGCUGAGCUUCUCGGCCAACGGCGGGGAGCCGAGCAAGUUCAGCCUGGAGUUCGGCAGCGGCGAGUUCACCCCGGCCGAGAUGAAGCGGAUCAUGGCCGACGAGAAGCUCGCCGAGAUGGCCCUCGCCGACCCAAAGCGCGUCAAGAGGGUGCUCGCCAACCGGCAGUCGGCGGCGCGGUCCAAGGAGCGGCGGAUGCGGUACAUCGCCGAGCUGGAGCACAAGGUGCAGAUCCUGCAGACGGAGGCCACCACCCUCUCCGCACAGCUGACUCACCUACAGCGCGAUUCGUCGGGGCUGGCCACGCACAACAACGAGCUCAAGUUCCGGCUGCAGGCCAUGGAGCAGCAGGCGCAGCUGCGCGACGCUCUGAACGAGGCGCUCACCGGCGAGGUCCAGCGCCUGAAGCAGUCGGCGACGUCGGAGCGCGGCGGCGACGCGGGCUCGUCCAGCAACCUGGCGCAGCAAAUGCAGCUCCGCUGCCAGAACCAGAUGCUCGAGAUGCACAAGCAGCAGCAGCAGCAGAUACCCUUCUACCAGCUGGAGCAGCCGGAGCAGAAUGGCGAGUCAAACUGA
RNAcentral lists this ribosomal RNA (1176 nucleotides) under Triticum aestivum (bread wheat). Its description in RNAcentral is "partial small subunit ribosomal RNA". The record is from RNAcentral. Lineage: Eukaryota; Viridiplantae; Streptophyta; Magnoliopsida; Poales; Poaceae.